GAUAAAAUGAUGAUUCGAAGAUAUGUUGCUUGGAUCUCAGGAAACUAUCAAAGAGAAAAAAAUAUUAACAGCAAUAAACUAUAGUCAGCAAGUAUGAAUCAUUAUGUUGGAAAUAAUAAAGCUAAAGGUUUUCCCUGCCAAGUCGUGCCCAACACUACGAGGUGGUGCUCAUCUCCAUUUCCUAGCCAAGGAAGCCGGUGUUCUCCAAAAACACUUCCAUGGUCAUGUGGCCAGCAUGACCGAGGCACACGGAACAUUGUUACCUUCCUACCAAAGUGGUACCUGUUUACCUACUUGCAUUUGCAAGCUUUUAAACUGCUAGGUUGGCAGGAACUGGGGCAAGAAUGGGAACUGUCAUCUAGUACUACUUGGGUUUCAAACUGCCAACUUUCUGUCAACAAGCCCAGUAUCUUAACUGUUAGGUCACCAUGCUCCUAUGUUGAAAGUAAUACCAUAUAGCAAAACUUAACAAUAUGGAGAGCUGGAAUCUCACUGGCCAAAUAAAAAAAUGGCGGUAUAUAAUAGAUCAGUUCUGGAUAUUUUACUAUCUGAAGAUAAAUGAAGCAGGAUCUAAGAUCUCUAUAAAAAAAACUCCAGUAUAAAGGGCAGUGGAUUCCUAAUACCUCCUGUCCAUAUGAUUGAGCCCUGCAGGAUAUUUUUUUAUAUCUGCCUUAAACAGCUGAUGGCGAGGUAUUAAAAUGAUCUAGUAUUAGAGUUUCCAAUUUAGAAACUCUGGUAAAAUUUAAGCACACUGCAGGACUGAACAGGGAGCCUGUUUACUUAAAAAUACAACACUGGGCAAAUUGGACUAAUGUAAUUGUCCAGAACCUGUUGCAUCUGUUGUUAGCCUGCUUGUGUCCCAAAGAAGGAUCUUUGAGAGAAUUCAUAAAAAUGCAGGGUGUUUUUUCUGAUAAGUAUCUCCUCCAUCUAGUAUUAAAAUUAUCUUCUAAUGUUUAUGGGGUUAAGCCAGUGGGUAAAAAUAUUCAUGUUAACCAAGAAGAAAAGAAAAUUAUUCAUAUUUUGGUUAUUAUCUGAAUUAACUCCAACCCGCAAAGGAGGUGAACACUAAAACAGGAUAUGGGCUACUGUAUGAAAGAUGAUCUUUAAAAUUUUUGAAUGCACAAGUUUCUAAUUUUGAGUUAUUGCCAUAAGGCCCAAGCUACAUACUAUUAAAAUGCUAGGAGCAGCCGUUGGCAGAAAAUAGUUUUAAGAUAGCAGGCAUCCCCAUCAAAACAUAUUCCAAUUGCCGAAGCUGAUUUUGGAGCUUUCUGGACUACAUAAUCCAGAUUAGCACAUCUAUUGGACAUCAAAAAAAACUUUGCAAGAUAUUUAAACACCUUGACUUAUUUGAUUUGAUGGCCAUUUAAAUUACUACUUCUGAAUUCUAAUACGUUUAGCCAAUAUCAAUAUUUUUGCCUUUACACAGUCCCUACAGCACAUAGUUGAUGAUCUUAGGGCAUGUUUCAGUCCAAUGAAAGUCUGAGAUAAAACUACCAUAUUUGGCUUAUUGAAACAUAUGAGCUGCUGUUGUGGCGGCGGCGGCGGGGUGGGGAGUCAGAGUAUUCAGAUAGAUGGUCAGAGUUUAUGUAAAAAGUAAAUAACAGUGAUGCCAACAUACAAUCCUAUCUACCUUCCCAAACCAAGUUAAUUACUUUAGUUGUGUAAUUUUGUGAAAUAAAUUGGAUUUUUAGACAAGCUUUUUCAUGAAGCUCAAGCAACAAUAACAAUACACAUAUCUAUAAUGGAAUUGAUGAGCUUAUCUGAUGUCUUAGGCCCAGAUUUUUAGUUUAAGGCAAACUUAAAAUCAACAAAAGCAGCAUAUAGGCAAAUCCUACUUUAGCCAUACACUUAAAAUAAAGGCAAGAUCAAGGUAUGUUGGGUCUAAUAUCAGCCUAUUUCUCUGGACUUGUCCUAUUUCCAGCCAAUUCACUAUUUUUGUAUUUAAAUAUUUGGCAUAAAUGUUGCUAAUGCUUAGUAGAUUAUUAGGUUGAUAGUAUGUCCCAUUCUCUCUUUUUAUAAACGGAACUAUUACUGCUUUUGAAGUCUUUUGAAAUCAUUGCAGAGCAAUCAUUGUAGAAAAAUCAAAGAAGGGAGUGGCUAAAACUGGGGUUCACCAUUCUUACAUAUGCAUUUUGCCAUUAAGAAAUCAUUACCUGGUGGGUUUCUUUGUUUAAAUUGUUAACCCACUUUUUAAUUUCUAAGCACAUUAACUGUCAGCCAAUGAAGAAAUAAGUCAGCAUUCACACCUUGAUUUAUGUAUGUAUGUCAGAAUCAUAGUCAUAUAAUUGUAGAGUUGGAAGGGACCACAGGAAACAUCUAGUCCAACUCUCUGCAACGUACAGGAAAAGCAAUUAAAUCAUUCAUGAGAAAAGGCUGUGCAGCCUCCAUUUAAAAACCUCAGAGAUACCAUAGCUCUUAUUGGUAUAUUAUUCUACUACUGUGUCUGUCUAUCUGUGUCUGCCUGUCUAUCUUUCUAUCUAUUUCGUAAUGGUAUAUAUAAUGAAAAACAGAAAUGGAGUUUAAAAUAUCACCCACUGUUGUGGAUUAUUCUUCCCUAACAAGAUGGAGAAGAAUUUGGGGCACUGACUUUUACCUAUAGUCAAAUGUCAAAGAAAAGGUCAGGUUCAAUUCAGAGCAUAUGUGAAAUUUAUAAUUGGAUAAUGCAUUACAAAGAAUCAACUGUGUUUGCUAAGUGCAACAACUCAACUUGUAAAAUAUAUUGAAAUAGCCUUUGGUUCUGCAGAUUACAAAGCUAAUACUGAAAUUUUAAAAAAUGCAAUAUCUCCUUUGAACUUUUAAUUGUAUACUAUUAAUCUAAUGUUAUACAAAAAU
Long non-coding RNA from Thamnophis elegans (Western terrestrial garter snake), 2832 nucleotides. RefSeq lists it as uncharacterized. NCBI's taxonomy places the organism in Eukaryota, Metazoa, Chordata, Lepidosauria, Squamata, Natricidae. The transcript is spliced from 2 exons. The record is from RefSeq and is a predicted model, not a curated record.